Molecule: transfer RNA, 67 nt
Filed under: Haplonycteris fischeri (Philippine pygmy fruit bat)
Lineage: Eukaryota; Metazoa; Chordata; Mammalia; Chiroptera; Pteropodidae
Description: tRNA-Val
Source: RNAcentral
CAAAGUGUAGCUUAUAUAAAGCACCUGGCCUACACCCAGAAGAUUCCAUACGAAAUGGCCACUUUGA